GACGAAGCGUAAGUGACGGUACCUAUAGAAGAAGCACCGGCCAACUACGUGCCAGCAGCCGCGGUAAUACGUAGGGUGCGAGCGUUGUCCGGAAUUACUGGGCGUAAAGCGUGCGCAGGCGGACUUUUAAGCCAGAUGUGAAAGCCCCGAGCUUAACUUGGGAAUUGCGUUUGGAACUGGGAGUCUAGAGUCUGUCAGAGGGGGAUGGAAUUCCACGUGUAGCAGUGAAAUGCGUAGAGAUGUGGAGGAACACCGAUGGCGAAGGCAGUCCCCUGGGAUAAGACUGACGCUCAUGCACGAAAAGCGUGGGGAGCAAACAGGAUUAGAUACCCUGGUAGUCCACGCCCUAAACGAUGUCUACUAGUUGUUGGGGUAGCAAUACCUCAGUGACGCAGCUAACGCGUGAAGUAGACCGCCUGGGGAGUACGGUCGCAAGAUUAAAACUCAAAGG
Molecule: ribosomal RNA, 451 nt
Filed under: uncultured bacterium
Lineage: Bacteria
Description: bacterial SSU rRNA
Rfam family: Bacterial small subunit ribosomal RNA
Source: RNAcentral